This 393-nucleotide ribosomal RNA is filed under the name bacterium enrichment culture. RNAcentral describes it as "bacterial SSU rRNA". It matches the Rfam family "Bacterial small subunit ribosomal RNA", at positions 521 to 916 of the family's 1533-position model. The record is from RNAcentral.
UAAUACGGAGGAUGCAAGCGUUAUCCGGAUUCACUGGGUUUAAAGGGUGCGCAGGCGGGAUGAUAAGUCAGAGGUGAAAUCCUACGGCUCAACUGUAGAACUGCCUUUGAUACUGUCGUUCUUGAGUAAAGUUGGAGUGGGCGGAAUGUGUUGUGUAGCGGUGAAAUGCUUAGAUAUAACACAGAACACCGAUCGCGAAGGCAGCUCACUAAGCUUUAACUGACGCUCAUGCACGAAAGCGUGGGGAUCAAACAGGAUUAGAUACCCUGGUAGUCCACGCUGUAAACGAUGAUCACUCGCUGUUGGCGAUACACUGCCAGUGGCUAAGCGAAAGUGAUAAGUGAUCCACCUGGGGAGUACGAUCGCAAGAUUGAAACUCAAAGGAAUUGACGG